This 634-nucleotide long non-coding RNA is filed under the name Eucalyptus grandis. Its description in RNAcentral is "long non-coding RNA (EGRA_LNC000740)". Lineage: Eukaryota; Viridiplantae; Streptophyta; Magnoliopsida; Myrtales; Myrtaceae. The record is from RNAcentral.
CCCCACAUUGCCAAAAGACAAAAAGGGCCCAAAACACACUAGUUCAGCCCAUCAUCAUUCCAAUAACAAAGCAGCCGAUCAAUAGAAAUAACACGCUGAUUAGACAUGAAAAAUCAAUUACCUCCCGCGAGCUGAGACGCAAAGAGAGGUGCGAGAUCGGACAGAGGAGACCCUAAACAAGCCUAGGUGAGAACUUUCAAGAGGGAAAAGAUCAAAGAAAGCGAAUGAGGACGAUAGUUUUGAAUUGUUCUGCAAAAGAGAGGCCAAACAUGAGAGAGAGAGAGAGAGAGAGAGAGAGAGAGAGAGAGAGAGAGAGAGAGAACAAUUUGGACCAGAGUAUAGAUUGACCAAUUCUGUUCAUAUCUACAUAUAAACCAUUUUGUUAAACAGAUAAAUGUGGCUCUUGCUAAUUUUUCAUUAUGAUAUUAUCAAAGACGUUCUUCCUCCUGUAAAUGCUACAUUCUCUCCCACCCUAAAUGUGCAUUAAUCAUAUUGUCAAAUCUAUGGUAGGUCAGUAACUUUCUAUGCUAUAUAUACGUAAAUGUCAUGUAUUUGUUGUAAGCAAUUAAAUUAAAACCACACUUUGUGAUGAGUUUCUCUAAUUCAAUCUGCUAAGACACAGUCCACCUAAAAU